This 222-nucleotide long non-coding RNA is filed under the name Ananas comosus (pineapple). RNAcentral describes it as "long non-coding RNA (ACOM_LNC014434)". The record is from RNAcentral. Lineage: Eukaryota; Viridiplantae; Streptophyta; Magnoliopsida; Poales; Bromeliaceae.
CUAUUUGCUGGCUCGAGCAUUUUAUAUCUGAAAGUAAAAUAUACUUCGUAACUUGUUUCCAUAUUCGAAAGUCGCGUCUUAUCGGUUUUAAAUAAAAGUGACGCCUAGUUAGAGUUGCUAGUUAUAGCGCUUCAGAUGAAAGUGAUCUAAUCAAAAGUGGAGAUAUGGUGACCGAUACGAGAACUUUAUACUUUUCCAUUUAAAAUAUCAAAGCGCCAAAAU